GUCCCCGUAGCUCAGUGGACAGAGCAACCGCCUUCUAAGCGGAAGGUCCUGGGUUCGAAUCCCAGCGGGGGCGCCA
Molecule: transfer RNA, 76 nt
Filed under: Chloroflexota bacterium
Lineage: Bacteria; Bacillati; Chloroflexota
Also listed under: 2 other names
Description: tRNA-Arg
Rfam family: tRNA
About the family: Transfer RNA (tRNA) molecules are approximately 80 nucleotides in length.
Source: RNAcentral